RNAcentral lists this long non-coding RNA (304 nucleotides) under Mytilus galloprovincialis (Mediterranean mussel). Lineage: Eukaryota; Metazoa; Mollusca; Bivalvia; Mytilida; Mytilidae. The record is from RNAcentral.
CAAUGGGAUUGCACAGUUAUAUUCACUUCCUAAGUUAACCGGAAGUUAAGUCCUUACAAAUUCAAUGGUCUGGAAAAAGGUCAAUAAUUGUCAUCUCAAGUGUGUUAUACUGUUUGAGGGGUAUUCUCAAGGUACGUGAAAGUUGUUUCAUUGUCAAGAUAAAUCAAUUACCGACAGACUGGUGUACUUUUAUUCGUGAAAAAGUCAAGGGAAAUUAAAAAAAUAUUGGUUGAAGCGAACACAUCGAAAAUUUCCGUUAGCUACCUUGUGUUUUUUUUGUACUGGGUAUGGAUAGUAAACCCCA